RNAcentral lists this ribosomal RNA (469 nucleotides) under uncultured bacterium. RNAcentral describes it as "partial 16S ribosomal RNA". It matches the Rfam family "Bacterial small subunit ribosomal RNA", at positions 28 to 507 of the family's 1533-position model. The record is from RNAcentral.
GAUGAACGCUGGCGGCGUGCUUAACACAUGCAAGUCGAACGGUGAACACGGAGCUUGCUCUGUGGGAUCAGUGGCGAACGGGUGAGUAACACGUGAGCAACCUGCCCCUGACUCUGGGAUAAGCGCUGGAAACGGCGUCUAAUACUGGAUAUGUGACGUGACCGCAUGGUCUGCGUUUGGAAAGAUUUUUCGGUUGGGGAUGGGCUCGCGGCCUAUCAGCUUGUUGGUGAGGUAAUGGCUCACCAAGGCGUCGACGGGUAGCCGGCCUGAGAGGGUGACCGGCCACACUGGAACUGAGACACGGCCCAGACUCCUACGGGAGGCAGCAGUGGGGAAUAUUGCACAAUGGGCGCAAGCCUGAUGCAGCAACGCCGCGUGAGGGAUGACGGCCUUCGGGUUGUAAACCUCUUUUAGCAGGGAAGAAGCGAAAGUGACGGUACCUGCAGAAAAAGCGCCGGCUAACUACGUG